GAGUUUGAUCAUGGCUCAGGAUUAACGCUGGCGGCGUGCCUAACACAUGCAAGUCGAGCGGCAGCGAGUUUUACACUGAAUUCUGGAAGCUUCUAGUUGAAAGAGAAGAUUUAUUCAAGAAUUUUGUGUAAAAUGUCGGCGAGCGGCGGACGGCUGAGUAACGCGUGGGAACGUACCCCAAAGUGAGGGAUAACGCAUCGAAAGGUGUGCUAAUACCGCAUAUGGUCUUCGGAUUAAAGCCUUCGGGCGCUUUGGGAACGGCCUGCGUAAGAUUAGAUAGUUGGUGGGGUAAUGGCCUACCAAGUCGACGAUCUUUAACUGGUUUGAGAGGAUGAUCAGUCAGACUGGAACUGAGACACGGUCCAGACUCCUACGGGAGGCAGCAGUGAGGAAUCUUCCACAAUGGGCGAAAGCCUGAUGGAGCAACGCCGCGUGCAGGAUGAAGGCCUUCGGGUUGUAAACUGCUUUUAUAAGUGAUGAUUAUGACAGUAACUUAUGAAUAAGGAUCGGCUAACUACGUGCCAGCAGCCGCGGUCAUACGUAGGAUCCGAGCGUUAUCCGGAGUGACUGGGCGUAAAGAGUUGCGUAGGUGGUUUAAUAAGCGAAUAGUGAAAUCUGGUGGCUCAACCAUUCAGACUAUUAUUCGAACUGUUGAACUCGAGAGCAGAAGAGGUAGCUGGAAUUUCUAGUGUAGGAGUGAAAUCCGUAGACAUUAGAAGGAACACCGAUGGCGUGGGCAGGCUACUGGGCUGUUUCUGACACUGAGGCACGAAAGCGUGGGGAGCGAACCGGAUUAGAUACCCGGGUAGUCCACGCCGUAAACGAUGGAUACUAGCUGUUUGGGGUAUCGACCCCCUGAGUAGCGAAGCUAACGCGUUAAGUAUCCCGCCUGUGGAGUACGAUCGCAAGAUUAAAACAUAAAGGAAUUGACGGGGACCCGCACAAGCGGUGGAUCAUGUUCUUUAAUUCGAUGAUAACCGAUAAACCUUACCAGGUCUUGACAUCCUUGGAAUCUUUCAGAAAUGAGAGAGUGCUUUUUAAGAGCCAAGUGACAGGUGAUGCAUGGCCGUCGUCAGCUCGUGUCGUGAGAUGUUUGGUUAAGUCCAUCAACGAGCGCAACCCUUGUCAGUAGUUGUAUUUUUCUACUGAGACUGCCCCGGUAACGGGGAGGAAGGAGGGGAUGACGUCAGGUCAGUAUUUCCCUUACGUCCUGGGCUAGAAACGUGAUACAAUGGCUAGUACAAUGCGCAGCGAAGCCGCGAGGUGAAGCAAAUCGCAUCAAAGCUAGUCCCAGUUCGGAUUGUAGGCUGAAACUCGCCUGCAUGAAGUCGGAAUCGCUAGUAAUCGCAGAUCAGCAUGCUGCGGUGAAUACGUUCCCGGGUCUUGUACACACCGCCCGUC
Molecule: ribosomal RNA, 1401 nt
Filed under: uncultured bacterium
Lineage: Bacteria
Description: bacterial SSU rRNA
Rfam family: Bacterial small subunit ribosomal RNA
Source: RNAcentral